Molecule: ribosomal RNA, 253 nt
Filed under: uncultured bacterium
Lineage: Bacteria
Description: partial 16S ribosomal RNA
Rfam family: Bacterial small subunit ribosomal RNA
Source: RNAcentral
UACGGAGGGAGCUAGCGUUAUUCGGAAUUACUGGGCGUAAAGCGCACGUAGGCGGCUUUGUAAGUAAGAGGUGAAAGCCUGGUGCUCAACACCAGAACUGCCUUUUAGACUGCAUCGCUUGAAUCCAGGAGAGGUGAGUGGAAUUCCGAGUGUAGAGGUGAAAUUCGUAGAUAUUCGGAAGAACACCAGUGGCGAAGGCGGCUCACUGGCCCGGUACUGACGCUGAGGUGCGAAAGCGUGGGGAGCAAACAGG